This is a long non-coding RNA of Epinephelus fuscoguttatus (brown-marbled grouper), 1004 nucleotides long. RefSeq lists it as uncharacterized. The record is from RefSeq and is a predicted model, not a curated record. The transcript has 4 exons. NCBI's taxonomy places the organism in Eukaryota, Metazoa, Chordata, Actinopteri, Perciformes, Serranidae.
GAAAUACAGCAAAGGGGCCUGGGCUGCAUUCAAACCCAGCCGCUGCAGUGACACUCAGCCUUCAUGGCUUUGUUAAAACUUUCUGCAAUGUGAAUAAAAGACAUCGGAGCAUACCUGCGUCCUCUUGGUGCGGAGCCGAACGAGCUGCUAGAUGAGAAGCAGAUGCUGGAGCUCAAAGCGCGACGUGCAUUCAGACACGAAGCCACAAAACAACAGAUAGGCAGACAUGCAUGCUGUAGCUGGCACAGGACUAACAAGAUGGACAAGCUGUGCAAAAGUCUCUCUCCCCCUCCCUUCUCCCUCUGCCUCUCACCCACCCCACCUCCCAAAUCCAUGACAUAACAGUUGGCUGGGGAGCAGUCGGUGGUGACUUUGCUGUCUGUUCAGACUGAAUAAGCAGAUUAUCAGUGAGUCCACGGUGUGCUGCUGUGAGCUGCUGACACUGAGUGGAAAGAGUGCUAUUUCUAAAGCUGGACUUCCCAACUUCUACUUCCCUCUACUGGCAAGGCAUGUUACAAGACUGGAAACUAUGCUGGGAGGCUUUUAUAAGUGCCUCCUUCGAGCCGGAUUUGAACCAGCGACCUAAGGAUGCCUGUUAAAGCCACUACAGUCCUCCGCUCUACCAACUGAGCUAUCGAAGGGAGUUCAACAUGGGUGUACAAAGAUGAGUAGUAUUCUUUUCACAAUGUACAUAUCCUGUGCAGUAAUGAUAAAUAAUUAAGUGUAAAAUAUUCACUUUAUAUCAAAAUUGAAGGGAAGCCAAUGUUCAACUGCAUCAUGUUUUCUCCACUGAGAAGACACCCAAAGAGCAUUUUACUACUUAAGUUAAGGUAGCAACACCUCUGCUACAAGGAAAAGUCCUGCAUCCAUGCGCUUCGAGCACCACAAGCUGAGUGCCGUCUCAUUCCAUCAUAUUUGAGGGAAGGCAGACUACAGUGAGUGCUGGACGGAGCAGUGAGUGAAAACAACUCCAUUAAGCCAAAAAACACAACAAAACCAAAGCA